Molecule: non-coding RNA, 172 nt
Filed under: Megamonas funiformis
Lineage: Bacteria; Bacillati; Bacillota; Negativicutes; Selenomonadales; Selenomonadaceae
Source: RNAcentral
UAAAUAUAGAUAAAGUUAGGUGUAGCAAUACUUAAUAGAGAAACAGGUGUGAAACCUGUGCUAUCCCGUAGCUGUAAUGUGGAGCGAGUCUUAAAUAUGUCACUGGGAAACUGGGAAGGCAAGAUGAGCGGUGAAGCAGAGCCAGAAGAACUGCCUAAUUUUAGUAGCCAAU